This 577-nucleotide ribosomal RNA is filed under the name uncultured bacterium. RNAcentral's name for it is "bacterial SSU rRNA". It matches the Rfam family "Bacterial small subunit ribosomal RNA", at positions 345 to 912 of the family's 1533-position model. The record is from RNAcentral.
GAGGCAGCAGUGGGGAAUAUUGCGCAAUGGGCGAAAGCCUGACGCAGCCACGCCGCGUGAGUGACGAAGGCCUUCGGGUUGUAAAGCUCUGUCGGGAGGAACGAAACACCAGUCGGUUAAUACCCGGCCGGAAUGACGGUACCUCGCAAGAAAGCACCGGCUAACUCCGUGCCAGCAGCCGCGGUAAUACGGAGGGUGCAAGCGUUGUUCGGAAUCACUGGGCGUAAAGCGUGCGUAGGCGGCUUGGUAAGUCGAGAGUGAAAUCCCAGGGCUCAACUCUGGAACUGCUCUCGAUACUGCUGAGCUUGAGUGUGGGAGAGGGAAGCGGAAUUCCUGGUGUAGCGGUGAAAUGCGUAGAUAUCAGGAGGAACACCCGUGGCGAAAGCGGCUUCCUGGCCCAUUACUGACGCUGAGGCACGAGAGCGUGGGGAGCAAACAGGAUUAGAUACCCUGGUAGUCCACGCCGUAAACGAUGAGUGCUAGGUGUUGGAGGUAUUGACCCUUCCAGUGCCGUCGCUAACGCAUUAAGCACUCCGCCUGGGGAGUACGGUCGCAAGACUAAAACUCAAAGGAAUUG